GGCCAUUAACCCCAGCUGGUCAUCAAUCCUCAUUAAAAACCUCUGCAACCUAGCUCACCAAACACAGUGAAGGGCAAUCCAAUGUUUCAGGCAUCUUUGUGAUUGCCUUCUCUGUUCUCUUUUAAUUUUUGUGGCUUCCUGGGAAUGGUUCUGUUUUUCUUACUGGAGCAAAAGUUCUAUUUCAUCAAGAGUUUGUCUGACCAGUGGUUGCACAGAAGCUGGAGUUCAGAGCUGUAUGCAUAAAUGGGAGUCUUCAGUACUACAGCUGCAGUUUAGAUGCUCAAGCAUGUGGUUACAGGAAAAAGAAGGUUUCUCACUGUGUGAUGGGAUGCUCAGCUGGUGUGUGGUGGGGGAGGGGAAGAACACAAGUCCAAUAAGGACACAGAAAGUAGGGCCUCACAGUGUCUGGAGUGGAUUUAUGUUUGUUCCUGUAUUAUGAAAUGUGUUUUUCUUCUGAUGCUGUUUAUGUGGCCAAAGAAGUCUUCUAGGUCCCCUUCUAGGAAGAAGUCCCCUUUUCUAGACCUUUAGAUGCACCAAUCUCCUUCAUUCUCCCCUAUUGUAUCAUUUGUCAAAGUGAGCAGCUGUUAUGUUUGUGAGCAGCUGGCUAGUGCAUCUGGAAAAAACUAUCCUUGGAUGUGAAGAGAGGUGACGGGUGGAAUAGUUUAACUACCUGAGGAAAAGCUCACAGCCACUGGCAAGGCUGGUCUCUGUCCAAAGCUGUGUCAUGGUGGAUCAGCCCGUUGCAUCGUGCUGUUUAAUGAGCCCCCAGAUGUCUUGGAAGCUAAUGACCAUUCCCCAGUGCACUCAGAAGAAGAGACAUGUAAGAUCUCAGGGAUUGGAUCGGUUUCAUUAAUGCCCAGUGUCAAAAUAGUGGGAAAUGGCUCUGUACUGUCUGAUGGAUGGAUGAAAACAAUGAAGACCUCUCUGGCACACUGUCGUGUUCAGAUCAUGUUUUCUCUCACACUAGUGAAUACUAUUGUGGUAGGUUAGCCAGUGCCUAUAUUGCUAUCAGGGAAGUAUUGUUUAGGAGUGUUUAGUCACUGUCUAUAUUGAAGGCUCUCCAAGAUGUCAUUUCUUCUGCCCGUAGUUGUGAAGUGUUAGGUCACAUAUAGUAAUGUUUGACUUUUCUCUGUCUUUAAUAUAUUCUGUCAUUAUCUAGGAUUCUUUUAAUUGUAAGUACUUGGUAGUUUGUUUUAUGACAUCUAGUGUUGAGAUAUUUUGAAUCAAUGGCCUGCAAGUCUUGUCUGUAGCUGCUCUGAUGUAAUAAUUAAAACUCAUGUUCUGCAGUAUGCCCUGUCUCCUGGCACAGAGUGUUCAGGAGAUGCUGGGCCUGAGCCCCUGAGUGGUGUAAUGGGUUUGUCUCAGCAGGGAUUAGUGCAAAAAGCUGUGUCUGGAACACUGUGGUUGUACCAGUACUUCUGCCUGCUCUACUGCUCCAUGCCAGAGGCUGUUCCCAGACUCAAAAUGUAGGAAUGAUGCUGCUUACUUUUGCGACUUAAGCUUCUAGAAAUGAAAUGAAGUCUCUGAAUCUUAUGCCAAAAAGAUCUAGGGUCUGUUCUGAAAGCUGGUACCUAUAAAUUUGUUUCUUUCCUAUUACAAGAAGUAGAGAGCAAAUUGUCAGUUUAUGAUGUCUACUGCUGUCCAUACUGAACAGUGUAGUCACUUCUGCUCAGCCUUAAAGGUUUUAAGUGAUGUCAAAUACCAGCAAAUCAACAAAUAUUAGUGCUAUUCUAGGUAAAUUUUUAUCAUGUAUUUCCAAAUAUAUGCAUUUUCAGAGAGCCAUGGUGACUACACAUAACCCCUGUUAUUCUUGUCCUUUAUUUAGUGCUGCAGAAAGUACUUAUGUCUCAUCAGCUCCCACCUCUUACCGUGCAAAGCAAGCUAUGUAUAUUUGGGCUGCACUAAAUGCAAGGAUAAAGAAAGAAAAGAGAGCAAGCCCAGCAUUCGUGUAGUGUGGAUUUCCCACGGUGGUAUUCAAAGCAGGACAGAUCACAAUGACUGAAGUGACGUGUAUCUCAAUUGAAGAUAGAAUAAGUCCUCUCAUCAUUAAAGACUUCAAACAAAGCCACUGAAAUUAAUGAGAGAAAUUCUCAUUUGCUACAGUGUUUGUUGGCAAAAGCAUGGAACCCUUUGCAAGUUUUCCCCCUCUAACAUGAGAAUUUGCCCAUUAACAAAGUGGUUUUGAAUAAGUCAUCCAUUUUGCAAGGACUGGAUGUUUUUGGCACUGGUGUAGGACAUAGAGCAGACCUGUGCAACAGCAUGACAUUCCUUGGCUCUGAGUGCACCAGAACUUGUUCUGUAUUAGUCACUCAUAGGCAGCCCAGUAUACUUCAUGCUUAUUCAUUCACCUUGUUGAUGACUGCAAGAUGCUGCCAAUAAAUGAACCCCUGUUGAAAGCUAAUCCACAUAUAUUGUAUCUGCAUAGUUGCACUCACUGGUGUCAGUUAAGUUCAAAGGGCACAGAAAGACAGUCUGAACUUCCUUGAAUGCCUGUGACCAUAAAUAUGUG
This is a long non-coding RNA of Pogoniulus pusillus (Red-fronted tinkerbird), 2509 nucleotides long. RefSeq lists it as uncharacterized. The transcript has 9 exons. The record is from RefSeq and is a predicted model, not a curated record. Lineage: Eukaryota; Metazoa; Chordata; Aves; Piciformes; Lybiidae.